Molecule: non-coding RNA, 75 nt
Organism: Myotis brandtii (Brandt's bat)
Lineage: Eukaryota; Metazoa; Chordata; Mammalia; Chiroptera; Vespertilionidae
Source: Rfam
AGCAGUUCUCGGGUGACGUACCCUGAAAUCGGGCUCCCUCCUCUCUGGUUCCAGGUCCAUCACCCGAGAACCACA